RNAcentral lists this ribosomal RNA (560 nucleotides) under uncultured bacterium. RNAcentral's name for it is "partial 16S ribosomal RNA". It matches the Rfam family "Bacterial small subunit ribosomal RNA", at positions 355 to 1375 of the family's 1533-position model. The record is from RNAcentral.
UGGGGAAUAUUGGACAAUGGGCGCAAGCCUGAUCCAGCCAUGCCGCGUGAGUGAUGAAGGCCUUAGGGUUGUAAAGCUCUUUCGGCGGGGACGAUAAUGACGGUACCCGCAGAAGAAGCCCCGGCUAACUUCGUGCCAGCAGCCGCGGUAAUACGAAGGGGGCUAGCGUUGCUCGGAAUCACUGGGCGUAAAGGGCGCGUAGGCGGACAUUUAAGUCGGGGGUGAAAGCCCAGGGCUCAACCCUGGAAUUGCCUCCGAUACUGGGUGUCUCGAGACCGGAAGAGGUGAGUGGAACUGCGAGUGUAGAGGUGAAAUUCGUAGAUAUUCGCAAGAACACCAGUGGCGAAGGCGGCUCACUGGUCCGGUUCUGACGCUGAGGCGCGAAAGCGUGGGGAGCAAACAGGAUUAGAUACCCUGGUAGUCCACGCCGUAAACGAUGGAUGCUAGCCGUUGGCAGGCUUGCCUGUCAGUGGCGCAGCUAACGCUUUAAGCAUCCCGCCUGGGGAGUACGGCCGCAAGGUUAAAACUUAAAUGAAUUGACGGGGUCAUAGCUGUUUCCU